UUCUGAGAAAGAGGACUUUCUGGCUUAUGCCCUCAGCACAACUUUUCCUACCCCAGAACUGUGCACUCAGUGUUGCCAACUACAGUCUACUUUUUAUACCAGAGUAGAAGAUUGUCAUUUUUGGUUAAAAGCUGAAGCAACUUCAGGGAAACCUCAGGGAAAAGAGAAGGGCUGGAAUCGGAUCUUCUACUUCAGAGAAAUGGGAAGACUGAGGAGGCAAGGUCUUACACAGUGUGAAGAAGGCAACUUAAAGGCUGGCCGGCAGUACGGAGACUGCGCAGUCAGCAAAAUCGGGUUCCUCUUUUCCAGGGCACAGAGUUGAACCACAUUUUCUCAACUUUUUGAGGACUAAAGAACCAUUGGCAUGGAGUUUACAUCUUGUUCGUCACGAGAAACUCAAUUAACAAGGCAGCAAAUAAGUGAUGAGACAUGGCAGCCCAAUUUUGUCUCAAAAGGACUCUGACUCUCUAAACUAUCCAGUGCUGGCCGGGCGCGGUGGAUCACGAGGU
Saimiri boliviensis boliviensis (Bolivian squirrel monkey) is the source of this 509-nucleotide non-coding RNA. NCBI's taxonomy places the organism in Eukaryota, Metazoa, Chordata, Mammalia, Primates, Cebidae. The record is from RefSeq and is a predicted model, not a curated record.